ACGGGAAAAUGUCGUUUACGGUUU
RNAcentral lists this non-coding RNA (24 nucleotides) under Arabidopsis thaliana (thale cress). Lineage: Eukaryota; Viridiplantae; Streptophyta; Magnoliopsida; Brassicales; Brassicaceae. The record is from RNAcentral.